CACGUAGGGUGCGAGCGUUGUCCGGAAUUAUUGGGCGUAAAGAGCUCGUAGGCGGUUUGUCGCGUCUGCCGUGAAAGUCCGGGGCUCAACUCCGGAUCUGCGGUGGGUACGGGCAGACUAGAGUGUGGUAGGGGAGACUGGAAUUCCUGGUGUAGCGGUGGAAUGCGCAGAUAUCAGGAGGAACACCGAUGGCGAAGGCAGGUCUCUUGGGCCAUUAACUGACACUGGAGAAGCGGAAAGCAUGGGGAGCGAACAG
RNAcentral lists this ribosomal RNA (256 nucleotides) under uncultured bacterium. Its description in RNAcentral is "partial 16S ribosomal RNA". It matches the Rfam family "Bacterial small subunit ribosomal RNA", at positions 524 to 775 of the family's 1533-position model. The record is from RNAcentral.